GUAGGUGGCAAGCGUUGUCCGGAAUUAUUGGGCGUAAAGCGCGCGCAGGGCGGUCCUUUAAGUCUGAUGUGAAAGCCCACGGCUCAACCGUGGAGGGUCAUUGGAAACUGGGGGACUUGAGUACAGAAGAGGAAAGCGGAAUUCCAAGUGUAGCGGUGAAAUGCGUAGAGAUUUGGAGGAACACCAGUGGCGAAGGCGGCUUUCUGGUCUGUAACUGACGCUGAGGCGCGAAAGCGUGGGGAGCAAACAGGAUUAGAUACCCUGGUAGUCCACGCCGUAAACGAUGAGUGCUAAGUGUUAGGGGGUUUCCGCCCCUUAGUGCUGCAGCUAACGCAUUUAGCACUCCGCCUGGGGAGUACGGCCGCAAGGCUG
RNAcentral lists this ribosomal RNA (372 nucleotides) under uncultured organism. RNAcentral's name for it is "partial 16S ribosomal RNA". It matches the Rfam family "Bacterial small subunit ribosomal RNA", at positions 527 to 896 of the family's 1533-position model. The record is from RNAcentral.